GAAAAUAUAGUAAUUAAUGAAAGAAUAUUAAAUACACAUAAUCAUUUAUUUAUAAUGAUUUACUACAAUAUUUUACACUUUAUACAUUGCAUGGUAAGAUAUAUGAGUGACUUAGUACUGCAUAGAGUUCCUAUAGGCCUCGUUUAGUACACCUCACAUGCCUGGAUUAGAUUAGAUUAAAAUUAGGCCCAUGUUUGGUUCACCUAAUUCUAGUUCUAAGCAGGGAUUACUAAUGUGGGUCCCACUAAAAAAAGCCUCCUUAGAAGGUGUUAGUUAAUCCCGUACAAAAUGAGGGGACUCAACAAUCUCGUGUGUUUUCAGGAAAAAAAAAAAAAUUAAUCCCGUGUGUUCUACCCUCAUACUCAGCCACUCAAUUCAAGUCCAUGUAAUCAUCGUCAUCCCCACUCCGAUUCAACACACUGGCUUCACCAUUAACAUCAUCAUCAUCAUCAGUCAUUUAUUGAGAUCAAAAUUGAGGAUGCUCC
RNAcentral lists this long non-coding RNA (485 nucleotides) under Prunus persica (peach). RNAcentral describes it as "long non-coding RNA (PPER_LNC001996)". Lineage: Eukaryota; Viridiplantae; Streptophyta; Magnoliopsida; Rosales; Rosaceae. The record is from RNAcentral.